RNAcentral lists this long non-coding RNA (575 nucleotides) under Setaria viridis. RNAcentral's name for it is "long non-coding RNA (SVIR_LNC005874)". The record is from RNAcentral. Lineage: Eukaryota; Viridiplantae; Streptophyta; Magnoliopsida; Poales; Poaceae.
CCCUUCGAGUCGUUCUUCCAGCUGGCUUCUGACCUCUUACACAAUGGCAUUUGUAGCCUGCAACGGAAUCAGAAAAACAAAAUAUUAAAUGUGUAUUCCUACCACCUAAAUGAUAGUCAUUACUGGUUUUGGUUGCCAUCUCUAAUUGAUGCAUGCAGAUCCAAAUAUAUAAAAUAAAUGAGAGCAGCGACGGAGAGAUUGUACAGAUAAAGUUUCCAUGAUUCAUUGGCAGCGGCUUAGAUGGCGGCAAGCCAGCGAGUGGACAGAGGCACGAUGUUGGCAUGGACUUCUCCGGAGCAGCAGCAACAGCUGAUUGAUCAUUUACAGAGAUUGUCACUGCCAUUGAAAGUUAAUAAAAGGAAGUCAUGCUUGUGCAUCCUGUAUAUAGUUGGCUAUUUUAUAGAACUAUUGAUCAUUUUCACCUUUCUUUUAGAUCCGCAUAGAAUUUUCCAACAUAUAGCCAUAUAGUUGUGGCAGAAACAGGCAAAUUUAACACAAAAAAUUAUUCAGAAUUAGACUAGUCAACGGCAUUGUGAGCAUACUCUAAAUGAAUCAGGCUUCUCCCUGAUCGAAAU